GAGCACGUAGGUGGGUUUGUAAGUCAGACGUGAAAGCCUUCUGUUCAACGGAGGAAUUGCAUCUGAAACUACAAACCUUGAGUGUAGGAGGGGAGAAUGGAACUUCUGGUGGAGCGGUGAAAUGCGUAGAUAUCAGAAGGAACGUCGGCGGCGAAAGCGACUCUCUGGCCUAUUACUGACACUGAGUGUGCGAAAGUUAGGGGAGCAAACGGGAUUAGAUACCCCGGUAGUCCUAACUGUAAACGAUGGGCACUAAGUAGAGGGGUUU
RNAcentral lists this ribosomal RNA (268 nucleotides) under uncultured anaerobic ammonium-oxidizing bacterium. Its description in RNAcentral is "partial 16S ribosomal RNA". It matches the Rfam family "Bacterial small subunit ribosomal RNA", at positions 565 to 831 of the family's 1533-position model. The record is from RNAcentral.